UAGGAUACUGCUUGGAAUGGUGAUCCUGAUGGGUCCCUUCCAACCCAGGAUAUUUUAUAAUUCUACUUUAUGAAGGUUGAAAGCAUAACUGAAAGGAAAGGUGUGGUGGAGGCCCUUCUGCCUGGCUGAGGGAAGGCACUGCAAGUGGAGGUGUUACAGCUCUGUAAAACCAUUCAGGAAUGCAGCAGUAAUGCCAGAAUAUGGGAGUUCUCCAGGUUUUCUCAUUGGCAAACCAUUGCAUCAUAUGUGGGAAGAGAAAGCUGAACAUCAAAGAUUUGCUCAAAGACUUUCAGGCUUGUUGAGCAUGACCCUUUCAUGAGAAGAAGCAUCUGAGAAGCUAUAUCAUUAUGGCUGCUUUUGGGAAUGCUAUGACGUCAAAGUUUAUAGGGAAGAUGCUGAUGGUGUGUAUCUUGAUGAACAAAUGAUUGCUAAACAUCCAAUCAGCCGCCUUCUUUUGCCAGCUGCUUUUCCAAUAUGACUACCAGAGGAUAUUCCUACCAUAUGCUCAGCAGUUUCUUUUAAUUUCACUUUAUCAGAGCAUAUUUCUGGAGGCUUUGCCAUGUAUGAUACUUUCAGAGUAGAAAAAAAUUAUUGAAUUUACAAUAGAUGUCCAAUAAAAGAAUCUUGGGUUGCAAGGUGGCAUUGAGCAAGCUACCUAUUGUGAAGCUGGUAAAAAACCACACUCAAUUAUACUAUGCUGCAUCUUAAUAUCUUCAAGAUGCAGCAAAACCUUAUUUAGAAUGAAUUUGUUAUUGAUAUUGGUCAGAAGAGCAGGUGGAGUAUUGCUGCUGUAUCCUGUGGUUUGGUGCAUGAAAUAUCAGUAUUAUCACAUUCUGCUAUUUUUUUUUUUCUCUUUGUCCCCCUGCAAUUAGGAUUUCUACAUUUGUAAAAGGUGGCUUUUAUACUAGGGUGUCCUUGGAUUUUGGACGCUGAUGGUGGAAUGCAUAUAUACCUAGAAUGCUUACAACUAUGUUAUGUAUUCUUUUUCAGAGUUCUGGUAAUUACUUAUCUAGAUCUGCAAA
Molecule: long non-coding RNA, 1022 nt
Organism: Hirundo rustica (Barn swallow)
Lineage: Eukaryota; Metazoa; Chordata; Aves; Passeriformes; Hirundinidae
Exons: 4
Source: RefSeq, a predicted model, not a curated record